AACAGUUAGCCAUUCCGUCAGUGGAUUUGCCCAGCAAAGGAGAGGCUUGAGAGGGUUGAUUUGAAAAAUCCUUCUACAGUUCUCAAUAGUCUAUCAAUCUUCCACCAGUUUUCGUUACACUGGUUUAGUCAAACCAGUGGAUUUGCUUCCACUUCACCUAUUUCAUCUUCACAUAACCUUAUUGGCUUUUUCAGUAGGAAUCAACUAUUUCACCCAGGCACAUACACAGAGAUUGUCCAGUGCUUGGAUUCAUUUGUUCUUUUCUGAGAAAGAGAUUUUUACACUCAUAUGUAUUUUAUUCCUAGCUGGAGAAAUAUCAAAAGGAUUUGAAUAUCACCAUCUGGAAGUUGUGCCAUGGACUGCAGUGGGCAGAAUUAAAAAGUGUUUGGCAAGAAAAUCACAGCCAUUUCAGCUAAAGCCGAUAGGCAGCCUAUGGAAGGCCGGUUCCUGCAUCCCUGUCACUGAGGCUCGGCCAUUAGAUUCUUGCUAAUGUGGAACUUUUCAAAUCUUUUGAGGCACUCUACCUCCAAGAACACGCAUGAUUAUGCCAACAGAUGGACUUAUCUUUAUGUGAAGCCAAUUAAUGGAUGGCUGUGUACAUUUUGGCUCAUAUGAAGAUCUAGCAACCUUUA
This is a long non-coding RNA of Ornithorhynchus anatinus (platypus), 632 nucleotides long. RefSeq lists it as uncharacterized. The record is from RefSeq and is a predicted model, not a curated record. Lineage: Eukaryota; Metazoa; Chordata; Mammalia; Monotremata; Ornithorhynchidae. The transcript has 3 exons.